GAAACACGGACCAAGGAGUCUAGCAUGUGCGCGAGUCAUUGGGACUCGAUUAAACCUAAAGGCGCAAUGAAAGUAAAGCUCCGCCUCGCGCGGAUCGAGGGAGGACGGGCCGGUCCGACCGACCGACCCCGCACUCCCGGGGCGUCUCGUUCUCAUCGCGAGAAGAGGCGCACCCAGAGCGUACACGCUGGGACCCGAAAGAUGGUGAACUAUGCCUGGUCAGGACGAAGUCAGGGGAAACCCUGAUGGAGGUCCGUAGCGAUUCUGACGUGCAAAUCGAUCGUCGGAACUGGGUAUAGGGGCGAAAGACUAAUCGAACCUUCUAGUAGCUGG
This 333-nucleotide ribosomal RNA is filed under the name Aphengoecus multiserratus. RNAcentral describes it as "eukaryotic LSU rRNA". It matches the Rfam family "Eukaryotic large subunit ribosomal RNA", at positions 656 to 954 of the family's 3401-position model. Lineage: Eukaryota; Metazoa; Arthropoda; Insecta; Coleoptera; Scarabaeidae. The record is from RNAcentral.